GGCGUAAUGAUGGCCAGGCUGUCUCCACCCGAGACUCAGUGAAAUUGAACUCGCUGUGAAGAUGCAGUGUACCCGCGGCAAGACGGAAAGACCCCGUGAACCUUUACUAUAGCUUGACACUGAACAUUGAGCCUUGAUGUGUAGGAUAGGUGGGAGGCUUUGAAGUGUGGACGCCAGUCUGCAUGGAGCCAACCUUGAAAUACCACCCUUUAAUGUUUGAUGUUCUAACGUGGACCCGUAAUCCGGGUUGCGGACAGUGUCUGGUGGGUAGUUUGACUGGGGCGGUCUCCUCCUAAAGAGUAACGGAGGAGCACGAAGGUUGGCUAAUCCUGGUCGGACAUCAGGAGGUUAGUGCAAUGGCAUAAGCCAGCUUGACUGCGAGCGUGACGGCGCGAGCAGGUGCGAAAGCAGGUCAUAGUGAUCCGGUGGUUCUGAAUGGAAGGGCCAUCGCUCAACGGAUAAAAGGUACUCCGGGGAUAACAGGCUGAUACCGCCCAAGAGUUCAUAUCGACGGCGGUGUUUGGCACCUCGAUGUCGGCUCAUCACAUCCUGGGGCUGAAGUAGGUCCCAAGGGUAUGGCUGUUCGCCAUUUAAAGUGGUACGCGAGCUGGGUUUAGAACGUCGUGAGACAGUUCGGUCCCUAUCUGCCGUGGGCGCUGGAGAACUGAGGGGGGCUGCUCCUAGUACGAGAGGACCGGAGUGGACGCAUCACUGGUGUUCGGGUUGUCAUGCCAAUGGCACUGCCCGGUAGCUAAAUGCGGAAGAGAUAAGUGCUGAAAGCAUCUAAGCACGAAACUUGCCCCGAG
RNAcentral lists this ribosomal RNA (806 nucleotides) under Salmonella enterica. RNAcentral's name for it is "partial 23S ribosomal RNA". It matches the Rfam family "Bacterial large subunit ribosomal RNA", at positions 1998 to 2803 of the family's 2925-position model. The record is from RNAcentral. Lineage: Bacteria; Pseudomonadati; Pseudomonadota; Gammaproteobacteria; Enterobacterales; Enterobacteriaceae.